AUUUCUCACAACGAACUUCGCUCCGCUGUACUGAGCAGUUUGUUUAUUCGCAGUUUAACUAAUGUUUGAUUUCUUUUGUUUCAGUUCCCACUGACUGGGCCAUAAGACAAUUCGGAGGGGGCAUUUGCAUCGCCCAUUAUUGGAAUCAAACACCGCAACCGGAGUUGAGCUGCAGAUCACAAGUCUGAAUGGUGGUACACGGUGGUACAAGACCAAUUUUUGGUGCACACAUGAAUCU
Non-coding RNA from Zootermopsis nevadensis, 238 nucleotides. The record is from RefSeq and is a predicted model, not a curated record. Lineage: Eukaryota; Metazoa; Arthropoda; Insecta; Blattodea; Termopsidae.